UACGAAGGGGGCUAGCGUUGGCUCGGAAUGACUGGGGCGUAAAGGGCGCGUAAGGGCUGGACAUCUUUUGUCGGGCGUGAAAAUUCCAGGGCUUUAACCUUGGGGCUGCGUUUCGAGCGGGGUGUCUUGAGUGGGGAAGAGGGUCGUGGAAUUCCCAGUGUAGAGGUGAAAUGUAGAUAUUGGGAAGAACACCGGUGGCGAAGGCGGUUGCUGGGCCUCACUUGACGACUAUGA
This 234-nucleotide ribosomal RNA is filed under the name uncultured bacterium. RNAcentral describes it as "partial 16S ribosomal RNA". It matches the Rfam family "Bacterial small subunit ribosomal RNA", at positions 524 to 751 of the family's 1533-position model. The record is from RNAcentral.